GACGAACGCUUUCGGCGUGCUUAACACAUGCAAGUCGAACGGAAAGGCCCUGCUUUUGUGGGGUGCUCGAGUGGCGAACGGGUGAGUAACACGUGAGUAACCUGCCCUUGACUUUGGGAUAACUUCAGGAAACUGGGGCUAAUACCGGAUAGGAGCUCCUGCUGCAUGGUGGGGGUUGGAAAGUUUCGGCGGUUGGGGAUGGACUCGCGGCUUAUCAGCUUGUUGGUGGGGUAGUGGCUUACCAAGGCUUUGACGGGUAGCCGGCCUGAGAGGGUGACCGGCCACAUUGGGACUGAGAUACGGCCCAGACUCCUACGGGAGGCAGCAGUGGGGAAUAUUGCACAAUGGGCGGAAGCCUGAUGCAGCAACGCCGCGUGCGGGAUGACGGCCUUCGGGUUGUAAACCGCUUUCGCCUGUGACGAAGCGUGAGUGACGGUAAUGGGUAAAGAAGCACCGGCUAACUACGUGCCAGCAGCCGCGGUGAUACGUAGGGUGCGAGCGUUGUCCGGAUUUAUUGGGCGUAAAGGGCUCGUAGGUGGUUGAUCGCGUCGGAAGUGUAAUCUUGGGGCUUAACCCUGAGCGUGCUUUCGAUACGGGUUGACUUGAGGAAGGUAGGGGAGAAUGGAAUUCCUGGUGGAGCGGUGGAAUGCGCAGAUAUCAGGAGGAACACCAGUGGCGAAGGCGGUUCUCUGGGCCUUUCCUGACGCUGAGGAGCGAAAGCGUGGGGAGCGAACAGGCUUAGAUACCCUGGUAGUCCACGCUGUAAACGGUGGGUACUAGGUGUGGGGUCCAUUCCACGGGUUCCGUGCCGUAGCUAACGCUUUAAGUACCCCGCCUGGGGAGUACGGCCGCAAGGCUAAAACUCAAAGGAAUUGACGGGGCCCCGCACAAGCGGCGGAGCAUGCGGAUUAAUUCGAUGCAACGCGUAGAACCUUACCUGGGUUUGACAUGGAUCGGGAGUGCCCAGAGAUGGGUGUGCCUCUUUUGGGGUCGGUUCACAGGUGGUGCAUGCCUGUCGUCAGCUCGUGUCGUGAGAUGUUGGGUUAAGUCCCGCAACGAGCGCAACCCUUGUUCACUGUUGCCAGCACGUUAUGGUGGGGACUCAGUGGAGACCGCCGGGGUCAACUCGGAGGAAGGUGGGGAUGACGUCAAGUCAUCAUGCCCCUUAUGUCCAGGGCUUCACGCAUGCUACAAUGGCUGGUACAGAGAGUGGCGAGCCUGUGAGGGUGAGCGAAUCUCGGAAAGCCGGUCUCAGUUCGGAUUGGGGUCUGCAACUCGACCUCAUGAAGUCGGAGUCGCUAGUAAUCGCAGAUCAGCAACGCUGCGGUGAAUACGUUCCCGGGGCU
Molecule: ribosomal RNA, 1346 nt
Filed under: uncultured bacterium
Lineage: Bacteria
Description: bacterial SSU rRNA
Rfam family: Bacterial small subunit ribosomal RNA
Source: RNAcentral